GAGGAAAAGAAAAUAACCAUGAUUGCCCUAGUAACGGCGAGUGAAGAGGCAAAAGCUCAAGUUUGGAAGCUCAAUGGUUUAACCAUUGCGCAUUGUAAACUGAAAACAGGAUCAAUCAGGUACACCGGGUGAUAAGUUCCUUGGAAUAGGACAUCAUGGAGGGUGAGAAUCCCGUCUUUGACCCGAGUCUAGUAUCUUUUGUAUUGGCCUGUUCAAGAGUCAGGUUGUUUGGGAAUGCAGCCUAAAGCUGGAGGUAAAUCCCUCCUGAAGCUAAAUAAUGGCGAGAGACCGAUAGCGAACAAGUACCGUGAGGGAAAGAUGAAAAGAACUCUGAAGAGAGAGUUAAACAGUACGUGAAAUUGCUUAAAGGGAAGCAUAUAAAGCUAGGAUGCGAUUGUUUUCUUCAGGUUGAGCUUUGGCUUGACUGUUCAGAAGGAUAAUCCAAGACAACAAGAAUUGGAGGAGGAGAAUAAGCCAUUGGGGAAGGUAAUCCUUCGGGAUGUUUAUAGACCUGAUGGUUCGCGCUCUUCUUUCGAUUGAGGUACGCUUUUUUUAAAGGUUGUUGUCUGAAUGGCUUUAUAUGGCCCGUCUUGA
Molecule: ribosomal RNA, 594 nt
Filed under: Syncephalastrum racemosum
Lineage: Eukaryota; Fungi; Mucoromycota; Mucoromycetes; Mucorales; Syncephalastraceae
Description: eukaryotic LSU rRNA
Rfam family: Eukaryotic large subunit ribosomal RNA
Source: RNAcentral